CCCUUAGAUGUUCUGGGCCGCACGCGCGCUACACUGAUGCAUUCAACGAGCCUAUCCUUGACCGACAGGUCCGGGUAAUCUUUGAAUCUGCAUCGUGACGGGGAUAGAUUAUUGCAAUUAUUAAUCUUCAACGAGGAAUGCCUAGUAGGCGCAAGUCAUCAGCUUGCGUCGAUUACGUCCCUGCCCUUUGUACACACCGCCCGUCGCUCCUACCGAUUGGGUGUGCUGGUGAAAUGUUCGGAUCGGCCGUUUGUCGCGGUUUCCGCGUCAUGUGGCUGAGAAGUUCAUCAAACCCUCCCACCUAGAGGAAGGAGAAGUCGUAACA
RNAcentral lists this ribosomal RNA (325 nucleotides) under uncultured eukaryote. RNAcentral's name for it is "partial 18S ribosomal RNA". It matches the Rfam family "Eukaryotic small subunit ribosomal RNA", at positions 1470 to 1796 of the family's 1831-position model. The record is from RNAcentral.